This 82-nucleotide transfer RNA is filed under the name compost metagenome. RNAcentral describes it as "tRNA-Gly". The record is from RNAcentral.
CGGACUUCUGGGAGAGCUGGGUGAACUUCAGGUCGUCGCCCACGACCGCGACCUUGCCGGCGUUCUGCCCGGUGAAGUUCGC